CUCUGUUCUGGGGCUGGAGGCUUCAUCUUAGAUGGAGACACUAAAACAGCACCACCAACAGCUGGAGUAGUGAGAUCAUGAUGAGUCCUCUGGAUUCCACCAAGUUCUCUCAGCUUGGGAGUAGGAAGCCGGCCUCCUUUUUCUGAGGAUACAGAAGAAUCUGACCCUUCUUUCAUCUUAUCUGCCUUAGAUUUCUCACGUACAUCCAACUUCUCUUGCUCUCCCAUAAAAGCCUGCUUGCCCGUUUUCCUGUCCCCUUCCUCUUCAUUGUCGUCCUCCUCCUCUUUCUCCCCG
This 294-nucleotide long non-coding RNA is filed under the name Homo sapiens (human). Its description in RNAcentral is "LNC_000844". The record is from RNAcentral. Lineage: Eukaryota; Metazoa; Chordata; Mammalia; Primates; Hominidae.